AUUGAACGCUGGCGGCAUGCCUUACACAUGCAAGUCGAACGGCGGCACGGGAGCAAUCCUGGUGGCGAGUGGCGAACGGGUGAGUAAUAUAUCGGAACGUGCCCAGUCGUGGGGGAUAACGUAGCGAAAGCUACGCUAAUACCGCAUACGAUCUAUGGAUGAAAGCGGGGGAUCGCAAGACCUCGCGCGAUUGGAGCGGCCGAUAUCAGAUUAGGUAGUUGGUGAGGUAAAGGCUCACCAAGCCGACGAUCUGUAGCUGGUCUGAGAGGACGACCAGCCACACUGGGACUGAGACACGGCCCAGACUCCUACGGGAGGCAGCAGUGGGGAAUUUUGGACAAUGGGCGCAAGCCUGAUCCAGCAAUGCCGCGUGCAGGAUGAAGGCCU
RNAcentral lists this ribosomal RNA (387 nucleotides) under uncultured bacterium. Its description in RNAcentral is "bacterial SSU rRNA". It matches the Rfam family "Bacterial small subunit ribosomal RNA", at positions 30 to 417 of the family's 1533-position model. The record is from RNAcentral.